Molecule: ribosomal RNA, 591 nt
Filed under: uncultured marine eukaryote
Lineage: Eukaryota
Description: bacterial SSU rRNA
Rfam family: Eukaryotic small subunit ribosomal RNA
Source: RNAcentral
UUGCAGUUAAAAAGCUCGUAGUUGGAUCUCUGUGGGGACGGGGCGGCCGGCCGCAACUCGCGGUUCGAGCUAGCACUUUCCCUACAUCCUGCCGCGAACCGUGCUACCAUUAGUUUGGUGGCGCCGGGGAUCGGCUCGAUUACUUUGAGAAAAAUAGAGUGUUCAAAGCAGGCCACACGCCUUGAAUAAGUUAGCAUGGAAUAAUAACUAAGGACUUCGGUUCUAUUUUGUUGGUGUUCGGGACUGAAGUAAUGAUUGAUAGGGACAGUUGGGGCGGUCAGUAUUCCAAAGCGAGAGGUGAAAUUCUUAGAUCUUCGGAAGACUAACAGCUGCGAAAGCGUUCCGCAAGGAUGUUCCCUUUGAUCAAGAACGAAAGUUGGGGGAUCGAAGACGAUCAGAUACCGUCGUAGUCUCAACUAUAAACUAUACCAGCUAGGGAUCGGCCAACGUUAUUUUAUACCGACUUGGUCGGCACCUUAUGAGAAAUCAAAGCAUCUGGGUUCCGGGGGGAGUAUGGUCGCAAGGCUGAAACUUAAAGGAGUUGACGGAAGGGCACCACCAGCCGUGGAGCCUGUGGCUUAAUUUGACUCA